GACAGAGGUGGCAAGCGUUGUUCGGAUUCAUUGGGUGUAAAGGGUCCGUAGGUGGUCAAGCAAGUCUGAUGUGAAAUCCCAUGGCUCAACCGUGGAACUGCAUUGGAAACUGCAUGACUUGAGUAUCGCAGAGGUGAAGGGAAUUCCCGGUGUAAGGGUGAAAUCUGUAGAUAUCGGGAGGAACACCAGUGGCGAAGGCGCUUCACUGGGCGAUUACUGGCACUGAGGGACGAAAGCCAGGGGAGCAAACGGG
Molecule: ribosomal RNA, 253 nt
Filed under: uncultured bacterium
Lineage: Bacteria
Description: partial 16S ribosomal RNA
Rfam family: Bacterial small subunit ribosomal RNA
Source: RNAcentral